GAUGCAUUUCAUACACGGUGAGGGGAAAGAAGCUGAUGCCCCCCCCCACACACACAUACCUGUCCGUACUCGUUGCCCACGUUUGUCACCCACGCUGCAGUGCCCGCAGCUUUGCCAGCCAGCUUGGAGGUCAUCUGGACGUGUGACAAAAGGCAGAAAGAAAAUAUUCCAUCUUCAGAAUGUUGCCGAAGAUAGACGUGACCCUGGCCUUGGUCGCCUCCAGCCUAGACAGGGCGUCCCUGACAAAGACGGAGAGGAGCCAGCCCACGGUGGGCACCGGGUGCAGGGGUGGGACAGUCACCGGCUUGACUGCUGCACCCGCUACGCCCAGCUUCUUCAGCACCCCGAGGCGUCUCACAGGCUCAGCACUUACUUGUAGGUGAGUACAGCCGGGAAUUGAUUCCGGUGACCCGGGUCCAACUGAUUGAUGAUGUCCGGGACCCAGGCGGCCAUCUUCUUCCCACAGGAACGACAUUCCAGGUACUCUGUGCCCAUAAAGUACCAGCCGUCCCUGUCCAGAACCCUGCGCACCGUCUUGUACAGUCCUGCGCCGGUCAGCUUUGUGUCACAGCUGGGGCACACAAGCCUGCACGCCCACAUCCUGUAGGGCAUCCACAGGAAGAACGGCCUCUGGAAGAAGGCGUGGGACGAUGCAGGGGUCUGGGUGUAGAGGGGCCGGGCUCCGGGAGGGUACCACCAGAGGCGAAGGUCGGUGGUGAGGACACGCUGGCCCCUGGCGUUCCUGGUGAACAGAGCCCGGCCCACCCAGUCCUGCUGCUCCUCCGGCAGAGUCUGCCUCCAGCUGUGAGGCAGCAACUUCACCACAGAAACAGACAAAAGGACAGCCCUCAGCUGCGGCUGCAGCUCUGGUCCUGGGCCGCACGGCGACGCCGCUGUCACCACUGGAAGACAGGUCCAGGUCAUCGACUGGCACAGGAGUGGAGGCUGAAGAUGGGACCUCUGCAAAAAUAACUAAAAGUAAUCAAAGUCAUGCAAAUACUCAGACAUGAGAGAGAUUCCACAACACGUGUCGUUGAAUCUGUCUGAUGUCUGUGUUCUGUGCACAGAACAAACUUUACUAUCCCAGUUAAACUACUGACGGACAACAACAAUCACCAUACCAUAAUGUGAUGACAUACAGACGGACAGCGAAGCGUGAGUAUCUACCAAGGUUAGGUUGUUAGGCCUACAGCUGAUCUCUACAGGGUCCAGUAAACAUCAACCGUACCUCGUAGUCACCUUAUAACUUACAUACAGUUUUACACCAUUAAUCCAUAGAAGGCUUCUGAAUAACAGAAGAACAGCUAUUAUCAGGUCCAAACACGUUCACCACAGAAUCAUUUACAUUUGAUAAAGGGUUAUAACCAUUGCAUGUGUGCUUGUGCGUGUGAGUGAACUCACGCUGACUCUCCACCUCCAAGGCAGCAGCCAGGAGCAUCUCGUCUGAGGGCUCGUUAGCAGCUGUUUCACACAGAAAAGACAAAGAAACACCUACUGUCAGAUGGUGGGCACUGGGGCUGCUGGGAGGGAUGCUGGUUCUUCUCCUGGUCCCGGCCCAGUAUGUAGGUCUUUAAAGCAUGCAGGUUGCUGCCUGGGAUGCACUUCUUCUUCCUCAGCCACUGCACGUAGCUACAGAAACAACAACAUCACUAACAACUGUGUGCGCGGUUGUUCCAGACAGACUCAAUGUCACUAUUUCAUCUGCACUGGUGUUUGUUGUCUGUGCACAGGCUUACGUCUCAACCUCUUUCCCCGUGGCCUCGUACAUGGAGGCGUAGGUCAUGGCUCCGUGGGGGCCGAACUCCACCAACUUCUUGUCUUGGCUCCGGACAGACUUGGAACCCUCCGUGGCACGGCGUCCCUCCACGGCUGACAUCACCUCUGGGAACAGCUUGCUGUAGGAGCACCUUGUUGGCCAUAAGUGGUGAGCUGGAUGUGUCACCACUCUCCCGCUCCUUCUGGUGUGAGGCCAGCAGGGACACAGCGUAGCCCACGUCGUGACUCAGGAGCCACUUGAAGGUCUGUCCCCGGUACUGCCCAAACUGGAUCUCAUAUUGGCUGAGAAGCAGCUGGGAGCAGUGGGGAUCUCCUCCUCCUUGCAGAGUGCGAGCUUGCGCCUCCUCCUUCACCUUUUGAGGCACCUUCACCUUCCAUGCCUCAGACCCAUGAUAGGCCUGGGCCACCGUCAGUGCUUCUGGUGAGGGCCUGAGAGUGAGCUCAGUGGACGAAGGCUGCACACGGAACAAAGGGCGAUGGUCCAUGAUCUAAGGAAUCAGAGAAACAUACAAUGAGCUGUACACACGUUAAUAAAAACAUUAUAUGUCUUAUCCUA
This is a long non-coding RNA of Betta splendens (Siamese fighting fish), 2332 nucleotides long. RefSeq lists it as uncharacterized. The record is from RefSeq and is a predicted model, not a curated record. The transcript has 5 exons. NCBI's taxonomy places the organism in Eukaryota, Metazoa, Chordata, Actinopteri, Anabantiformes, Osphronemidae.